CUAAAUAUGAACCUAGACUUCCAGAUUAUUAACAAGGCGUACAACAUACUGAUUCAACAACACAUACAUUACUCACUGCUUCUGAUGUGAGUACUAUGUAACAGCACCUGAUAGUUGGACCAUGACCACUGAAGGCGGCAGCCUAGAAGAGGCAGUCACACAGGUAAACAAACAAGCAGAACAGGAUCAGGUGAUGGAAGAACCUAAGACACAGCAUCUGAGAUGCCUGCCUUUAGGACGCUCAUGAUUCAGAAGAGUGCACAGACCUGCGCAGGCACUCAUAGAGGCACAUUUGGACAGUGAUAGAGACACAUUCGGUGCAAGGUAGCAACAUGCAGGAGGACUGGUCAGCAAAGCAAGUAUCUGUUAAAUAUUUUGAAUAGUAUCUACUCGACAGCAAUAGCACCAUAAAUAUGAGCUAGGGUGGUAUAACUGCAUAGAGAAGAGAGAUCAAAGAAGGCAUAAUGGGAAGAUGCUUGAGCUAGUACCGGGUCAAGGGGGACCAGCUGAUGAGAAGAGGAAGGGCAACAAACAGAAGAAGCUAUGUGUGCAUGGUGCUUUGGGAAGUAGCGAGUCUCUCAGCCAGGUGAGACUCGGCCACAGGGCUGGAGAGGUCUGCAGGUGGCACAGAGUCCUAAAUGCCAAUGAAAAGGAGAUAAUUCAACUAUAGGAGGUGGAGGAGGGUUCUCAAAGGUUUUUAAGCAGAAGGAGGACAGAAACUUUCUUGCGAAUGGGGUGCUACUGGGAGAGAGAAUAUUCAGAGGCAAGUAGAGAGCCUGAACCACACAGGCAUGGAGACAAGCCACUUCUCCCCCUGUCCCCUCUGACACCUUUGUACCACAGGUUCCCAAGGCCUGUUCAGGCCUCCAGACCAAGAGUACCUACUUCCUUUGUACUGAGAAGGGCUGAAUUUGAACUCAAUGAGAAAAUCACAGGCCCAUUUUCUUUCAAUAAUUCCUUUCCUUCAUUCCCACUGCAGGGCACUUUCUAUAAUUUAUUCAUCCCAAGGUGCACUUACAGAGUGCAUCUGCUUCAUCAUUAUUUUAUUAUUUCUUCUUGCUUUAAAAUUGCAUGAGCCACUGAGAAGCAGAGAUGAUGAACAGGGAAAACAGCUGGGCUCUUGCUAGAUGAGGAUUGUGGUUAAGUUUGGGGGGGGGCCUCUAUAUCCUUAGUCAUCUAUAUAGUCUUGCCCAUCUACAUUUUAUAUUCUUUUGCUCAUUGAUCUUUCAAUAUUCAAAAUUCAGGCCCUCUAAUUACUUAGAUGCCCUCCCUUCCCCUGCCAAAUGUUCAUUUUCCCAAACCCAUUGCCAUCAAGUCACAUGUCUACUGAAAAAUCCUUCAAUGUUGUAAAGUCUAAUUCCUCAUCACAGCAACCAAAGCCCUUUAGAAUCUGCCUCAAUUCAAUUUCCUUGAUACUUUCUACAAUUCAAAUUUAGUCAAAUUGUUUCUGGAAUGCUUUGCUGUUCCUUCACUACCUGCUUUUUCCCAUGCCCCACCCCCACCUCACCUUCCUCUCUAGCACAAGACACAAAUUUGAUCCCACCUCUUCUAUGAAAUGUUUCCUGCCCUCUCAAGUUCUCAAACUUUUAUCAAGACCACAGUGUCCUGCUCCAUUAGUUACUUAGAAGAUGUUCUUGGAAUAUAUUCAAGACUUUCACUAAUCUUUUCUUUGUCUUAGAGAAUGCCACAUGUAAUGGUAAUUAUCAAAGACAGAAAAGACAGAAACAGUAAUAUUGAUCAAAAUUUAUUGUUUCCUCUGAUCCAUCAACAGGAAUUGAUUAUUCACUUACUUCUAGAGGUCAAUCCUAAAAUUUGGUUUUUAAUGGCCGUGGAAGAGAAGGUUUCUAUUUAAAGAUAUAUCUUCCUAAAGCAUCUACUAACAUUAUAUAUACUUGCCUCUUGGCUCAGUUUUAAAUACUUUUCAAAAAUAGGAAAUGAUGUAAAAAGACAUGUUACAUUGACUUGGUUUGGAAUCAGGCAGCCAACACUUUUGGGAGAAAUAAAAAUGUGAAUUCUGUCCACUGUGAUGCAAUGAAGAUUUCUAAUUUAUUUGCUUGGUGCAAAAGAAUGAUUAUACUGACCAUUAUCCCUGAGGGAACCAACUGCUUCCUCAAUUCUUCUGCUUUAACCUCUAUCUGUACUUAUUAAAAUGUAUCCUUGUAUGUAUAAUAGGAUUGCCAUCUAUGGAGAGCUAAUGCUACUUUAGUGCUUGGUGAGAUCUCUAACCCAAUACUUUAAACCACAAACACAAGAGCAUUCUGAAUGUACACACAAGCAAUUUUGCAAGAAGCAACCUGUUUGCAAAGAUGUAAACUCAACACAGCAGCAUGCAAAUUGAACCUCAGAGCUCUUGCUUGCCCAUAAAAUAUGACCUUCCUCAAAACCUAUUUGCCUGUGUAUACUUCAAGAAAAAGUAAAGAAAAUUAAAGUAAGUAAGAAAGUUGGAGUUAUAGCUCUAUCCCUUAACAACUUUGGACUGUAAUAACUGAACUUCACUCUUUUCUUUUUUUUUUAUUUAUUUAUUUUUUAAUUUAUUUAUGAUAGUCACAGAGAGAGAGAGAGAGAGGCAGAGACAUAGGCAGAGGGAGAA
Long non-coding RNA from Canis lupus familiaris (dog), 2590 nucleotides. RefSeq lists it as uncharacterized. NCBI's taxonomy places the organism in Eukaryota, Metazoa, Chordata, Mammalia, Carnivora, Canidae. The record is from RefSeq and is a predicted model, not a curated record. The transcript has 4 exons.